GCGCGCAGCGUCGAAACCGGUCCUCGCGGGCCGGCGAGAGGGAACCCGGUGAGAAUCCGGGACUGUCCCGCAGCGGUGAACAGGAACGACCGCCGUCAUGAGCACUGGAUCCAUUCCGGGAAGCGACGGCCAGUAGGCGACAUCCGGGGCCCUCUCCGGACCGGUCCGCACGACCGAUGCCUGUGAGUCCGAAGACCUGCCGGUUGUGCCGGGUACGC
This 218-nucleotide non-coding RNA is filed under the name Mycobacterium sp. The record is from RNAcentral. Lineage: Bacteria; Bacillati; Actinomycetota; Actinomycetes; Mycobacteriales; Mycobacteriaceae.